This 494-nucleotide ribosomal RNA is filed under the name uncultured bacterium. RNAcentral's name for it is "partial 16S ribosomal RNA". It matches the Rfam family "Bacterial small subunit ribosomal RNA", at positions 28 to 507 of the family's 1533-position model. The record is from RNAcentral.
GACGAACGCUGGCGGCGUGCUUAACACAUGCAAGUCGAACGGUGAAGCGCCUUCCUUUUUGGUGGGUGUGGAUGAGUGGCGAACGGGUGAGUAACACGUGAGUAACCUGCCCCCUUCUUCUGGAUAACCGCAUGAAAGUGUGGCUAAUACGGGAUAUUCUGGGUCUGUCGCAUGAUGGGUCUGGGAAAGAUAUUGUUUCGGUGGGGGAUGGGCUCGCGGCCUAUCAGCUUGUUGGUGGGGUGAUGGCCUACCAAGGCGGUGACGGGUAGCCGGCCUGAGAGGGUGGACGGUCACACUGGGACUGAGACACGGCCCAGACUCCUACGGGAGGCAGCAGUGGGGAAUAUUGCACAAUGGGCGCAAGCCUGAUGCAGCGACGCCGCGUGAGGGAUGGAGGCCUUCGGGUUGUGAACCUCUUUCGCCAGUGAAGCAGGCCUGCCUCGUUUGUGGGUGGGUUGACGGUAGCUGGAUAAGAAGCGCCGGCUAACUACGCG